RNAcentral lists this unclassified non-coding RNA (440 nucleotides) under Hevea brasiliensis (rubber tree). Lineage: Eukaryota; Viridiplantae; Streptophyta; Magnoliopsida; Malpighiales; Euphorbiaceae. The record is from RNAcentral.
GUGUGCUAUAUGUACCCGUUUGAUCAUAAGCAUCAAUUCCUUCUGUGUCCAGCAGUAACAGGUUGUAUUCUGUUCCAUCAAGAGCUGUUCUCCUUAAAGGUGAACUCCACAGCCAGAUACCUUUUGUGCAUGGCCGAUGAGUUGCAGCCACUUGAAAACCGCUACUCCUGCCAAGAAGCUGGUUAAGUAUAAAGCUCUUGCCUUGACGAGCACGACCACAAACGGAGACAAUACCAACAGGCUCUUUGACGAGUUGAAGUAUAGCAAGUGCCUCUGGAUCGAUCUGGAACUUCCCUUUCUCAUCGCAAUACACGAAACGAAUCGGUCUGGCUGGACCGGCAGCAAUGUUGACAGAGGAUGGAGGAGAAGUCUGUGGAGGCGACGGCGACGGUGACGGAGAAGAUUGCUGCGGCGACUCUCCGGCGGAACCUCUACCGAAU